AAGGAGGAGCCGGACAGAGAAGCCAGGGCAGGCGUGCACGCUGAUGAGGACGAAGACGGAGACGAGAAAGAUGAGAAGAAGCACAGAAGUCAACCCAAAGAUCUAGCUGCCAAACGGAGGCCCGAAGAAAAAGAACCUGAAAAAGUAAAUCCACAGAUUUCUGAUGAAAAAGAUGAGGAUGAAAAGGAGGAGAAGAGACGCAAAACGACCCCCAAAGAACCAACGGAGAAAAAAAUGGCUCGCGCCAAAACAGUCGUGAACUCCAAGGUAAAUGUAUGCCGGGAAUAAAGCUGGUGGCGGCGCUCAUGAGGCGGCUGGGAGCUGCUCUCUGAGUGCCAUCA
Molecule: small RNA, 341 nt
Filed under: Pongo abelii (Sumatran orangutan)
Lineage: Eukaryota; Metazoa; Chordata; Mammalia; Primates; Hominidae
Description: retained intron
Source: RNAcentral